This 337-nucleotide unclassified non-coding RNA is filed under the name Hevea brasiliensis (rubber tree). Lineage: Eukaryota; Viridiplantae; Streptophyta; Magnoliopsida; Malpighiales; Euphorbiaceae. The record is from RNAcentral.
GUCAUCUGCAGUGUUUAUUAGCAAGAGAUGUGAUGGACAUGGUUCUUGUUACUCAGUAUUUUAAUACAAUGAAGGAGACUGGAGCUUCUUCCAAGUCAUCUGCCGUGUUCAUUCCCCGUGGACCAGGUGCUGUCAAAGAUGUUGCUUCUCAGAUCCGGGAGGGUCUUCUUCAGACUGAACUAUCCAGCAUUAGUUUAGUAAAGACAAAGGAUAAUUGAUAGCCUUGUGUAGUUUGAUGCUCUUUUAGUUUAGUAUUGAUACAGUAGCUUUAUUUGUGUUAUACAUACUUAUGUAGUCCAUAGAUUGAUACAUUCAACGUUUGGUUUAAGUAUCUUCU